GUCUACGGCCAUACCACCCUGAACGCGCCCGAUCUCGUCUGAUCUCGGAAGCUAAGCAGGGUCGGGCCUGGUUAGUACUUGGAUGGGAGCCCAGGAAACACUAAACU
Molecule: ribosomal RNA, 107 nt
Filed under: Cavia porcellus (domestic guinea pig)
Lineage: Eukaryota; Metazoa; Chordata; Mammalia; Rodentia; Caviidae
Source: RNAcentral